RNAcentral lists this ribosomal RNA (482 nucleotides) under uncultured bacterium. RNAcentral's name for it is "partial 16S ribosomal RNA". It matches the Rfam family "Bacterial small subunit ribosomal RNA", at positions 30 to 507 of the family's 1533-position model. The record is from RNAcentral.
AUUGAACGCUGGCGGCAGGCCUAACACAUGCAAGUCGAGCGGAUGAAGGGAGCUUGCUCCUGGAUUCAGCGGCGGACGGGUGAGUAAUGCCUAGGAAUCUGCCUGGUAGUGGGGGAUAACGUCCGGAAACGGGCGCUAAUACCGCAUACGUCCUGAGGGAGAAAGUGGGGGAUCUUCGGACCUCACGCUAUCAGAUGAGCCUAGGUCGGAUUAGCUAGUUGGUGGGGUAAAGGCCUACCAAGGCGACGAUCCGUAACUGGUCUGAGAGGAUGAUCAGUCACACUGGAACUGAGACACGGUCCAGACUCCUACGGGAGGCAGCAGUGGGGAAUAUUGGACAAUGGGCGAAAGCCUGAUCCAGCCAUGCCGCGUGUGAAGAAGGUCUUCGGAUUGUAAAGCUCUUUAAGUUGGGAGGAAGGGCAGUAAGUUAAUACCUUGCUGUUUUGACGUUACCAACAGAAUAAGCACCGGCUAACUUCGUG